CUCAAAAUCAUUUUGACUGUCUUACUUUUUGCUAAGUCCUGUCCAUGUGUUGCUGGCAUUGUAAUUGGGACUUGAAGAAUUUGUACUCAGGUCAAGAAGUGAGACAACUUUUUUCGGAAUACGGUUCUCCUUUAGUUCCAUUGCCACUGGCAGCCAGCCGUGAACAAUUUGUUGCAAACUUUGGGCUUCAUUGUCUGUCAUUAUCCCUUGAUGUAUUAUGUCAUUAAGCACCCUUGAGAUUCAGCAAGUCUUUUAUGAAUCUUCUGUUUAGCCUCGCUGUGACCUGGUCACUAAAAAAAUUUCUUCUGUAGCCUUACAUUAUAAAGUCAAUGAUCUUUAUGGAUGCUCUGUGGGUUGACGAGUAAUUUAAUUGGCUAUGUAGAAGGCUGCCAAGUGGUCAGUCUGACCACAACACGGCUCUGCUGGAGGU
Thrips palmi is the source of this 430-nucleotide long non-coding RNA. RefSeq lists it as uncharacterized. The record is from RefSeq and is a predicted model, not a curated record. The transcript is spliced from 3 exons. NCBI's taxonomy places the organism in Eukaryota, Metazoa, Arthropoda, Insecta, Thysanoptera, Thripidae.